Molecule: ribosomal RNA, 246 nt
Filed under: uncultured bacterium
Lineage: Bacteria
Description: partial 16S ribosomal RNA
Rfam family: Bacterial small subunit ribosomal RNA
Source: RNAcentral
UACGAAGGGGGCUAGCGUUGUUCGGAUUUACUGGGCGUAAAGGGCGCGUAGGCGGAUUUUUAAGUCGGGGGUGAAAUCCUGGAGCUCAACUCCAGAACUGCCUUCGAUACUGGAGAGCUUGAGUCCGGGAGAGGUGAGUGGAACUGCGAGUGUAGAGGUGAAAUUCGUAGAUAUUCGCAAGAACACCAGUGGCGAAGGCGGACUCACUGGCCCGGUACUGACGCUGAGGUGCGAAAGCGUGGGGAG